GGCACACAGCUGUGGCAAUACCAGAAAGCCUUCCAGAAGAAGGAAAUCCCUUUCUGGUGGUAAGCAUUGCAUUUUGCAAUGAAAGAAUAGCAAGGGAGCCUUUUGUGAAUUCUUGCUAGCAGUCUCAGAAUUGGAGCAUCUGCUGCUGCCUGGAGAAUAGGCACAACUUUGACCCAUUUGCAGUGUGGAAAGUUAUCUUUUGAACUUUAUUGGAAUUAAUACAGUUAACCAAUUUAGGAGAAUGUAAAUUUGCAUUUUUGUGGUCUUCUAAUGGCUAUUUUGCAUAUUAAAGGCUGGCAUUAUAUCAACCCACCUGCUUCUACCAGAGAGAGAGAGAGAAAAAAAAAUCAGAAUCACUCAACCUGCAGAUUGCUGUCAGCUUGUGAUUAUGUGAAUGCAGUACUUUUGCUGGAGUGAGAAUGAGCAGUCUUCCUUGGGAAUGGCUUUGAAGCCAUUAAGGGGAGAGUAACAGAUUUGUGUCCAAAGUUUGCAAAAGUACUCUCUGCUGCCCAACAUGCAAAUCUAAAAUCAAGUCAGAUAAUAUUCCUUGAGGCUUUCCAUAUACAAAGGCAAAGAUAACUCUAGAACUCCUCAAUCAGAAAAUGAAACCUCAAGACAUACUCUGAGGUGUUGAACAGUUAACGUCAACAGUUCCUAAAGGAUAGUUGGAAAGAAAUACUCUGAGAAGAUGAUGAACCAGAGAUGAGUACUAGGAGCAAAAUUUGGUCCAUGUGCUGAUCCAAGCUGUUAUUCCCCACCAUGCUAUGGUCUAGUAGGAUCUAACAAAGAGGUACAAAUUGUGGCACACCACCUUCUGAAGAAACCAAGGGCUUUGUUACAGUAAACUGGUCCAGGGCGAUAUCACAAGUAUAAAAAAUAUUCCAUUCUGUAUCAAAACUAGGCACAUGCCUUUAUUUAUAGUAACAGAAGUUAACAGAGUUGAGCAUUGUUGCCUUGGGUCCUAUUUCUUGGCAUCCUACAUCAGACAAACGCAUCUUUCAACAUAUAUCCGCCCAUAACUCCAGGGAUCUAGUCUCAGGGUUAUCUCUAUGUAAAGGAAGGUGAAAUCACACUUGGAUCUAUAGUGGUAAAGUAAAAAGAAAGGGCAGUGCUGUGGAAAUCCUUGAAUGACCUCUCGCGGAUGGUGUCGGGGCCAGCACACAUGGGCUGCUGGCCACCAAACUGCAGGGUGGGAUGUCGCUGCAGGAUCCAGAGGAGGCGGCAGUCACAGGCCAGUGGGUUGUUAUUAAUGCUCAGGACCUCCAGAGCCCUAGGGGAGGAGAAAACAUUCUCUUCCAAAGUUUCCAGGAGGUUCUGAGACACAUUGAGCACACGAAGGAAGCGGAGCCCUUGGAAGGAGUGAGGCUCAAUGGUGCGGAGCUGGGCUCCCACUAUAUGAAGCUCCUGAAGGCGGAUCAGGACAGAAAGCACUGCAAAGAAGACUUGGAUUUCCUCUGAGGACAGAUUCAGAAGAUCCUGCAGAAGGAAGUCCCCAAAAGGAUGAUAUAGUGAUAAGAGAGGAUUUCAGCCAUCAUGGAAAAAAGAAAAAAAAAAAAGAAAAAAAAG
This 1566-nucleotide long non-coding RNA is filed under the name Sus scrofa (pig). RNAcentral's name for it is "lncRNA (ENSSSCG00025070231.1, ENSSSCG00035005846.1, ENSSSCG00045005190.1, ENSSSCG00055022911.1)". The record is from RNAcentral. Lineage: Eukaryota; Metazoa; Chordata; Mammalia; Artiodactyla; Suidae.